RNAcentral lists this antisense RNA (75 nucleotides) under Streptomyces sp. ADI95-17. RNAcentral's name for it is "ASpks TB sRNA". It matches the Rfam family "ASpks TB sRNA". Lineage: Bacteria; Bacillati; Actinomycetota; Actinomycetes; Kitasatosporales; Streptomycetaceae. The record is from Rfam by way of RNAcentral.
CUUGACCGAGCCGAGCAGCAGCGCGCGGUCGCCCGACCGUUCCUGGCCGUACGUGGCCAGCAGCGCCUGCGCCUC